Gallus gallus (chicken) is the source of this 323-nucleotide long non-coding RNA. The record is from Ensembl. NCBI's taxonomy places the organism in Eukaryota, Metazoa, Chordata, Aves, Galliformes, Phasianidae.
GAUUCCUAAGUAGCACAAGUUGAGCACACAAGUAACACUCAGAGUGCCAAAAAAAGUUGGUUUGAGGGAAGUGUGCAGAUAUUGUAGGCUACAGGGGAGUCGAUGCUUCGUAGAGAGAGAGCUGAUUUGCAUGAGGCUGUGGAUUCUGCAAGCUAGUCAGAGCCCAUACAGUGUGUUGUCCUGAUAGAAGUAUAGCAGUCAGUGCUAAGGCUUGCUCGCCCAUGGAACUGCCUGGCUUCUGACUAAUAUUUCAUCAAACACAGCAUCAGGUCAUUGGAAAACACAGACUGCUUCCCAGUGUGAGAGAGCUCUUAGCAGUGCUG